UAAAAUAAAAAAACCUCAUUUCUCUCUCCUUACCCACUCAUUCUCUCUCACCUUUUCAGUUUUCUCUCUCCCCCUUCUAACUCUGGAAGGGGGAUUCAUCAUAUGCAAAUGGAAAGGUAAUAGAUGUAGAUCUAAAGACUGUAAGUAUACAAAGGGGAUCUUAUUUUAUUCCAUUUGCACUGGUGGCUAAUACGUUACCAUAUUCUCGUCCAGUAUAGUUUGAAAAUUUGACGUUGCCAGUGGAAUUUUGUUGCUGGAUUAUCUAAGUCCCAGAAUCACGACACGUAUGCUUCACCCUCCGUCGACGGUGUUAUCCAUCAGCAACGACGAUGGCGCCAACUUCUUUCCAUCUACUUCCCCACUCGCUGCCUCCAACGUCACUUGACUUUCUAUGGUUUUGUGCAGAAAAUGAGUGCGCAUAUGAGUUUGUGAGUGCUGUGAAGGGGAAGCCAUGGGGCUCGGGUAGAGUUUUGAUGAGGAGAGAGAAAUGAGUUUUAUGUUUUCAAUUUUAAAAUAAAAACAAAUAGUAAAUUAUUGUUAUAUCCCUGAAAAAAGUAAUCAAUAAACAAAAAAUUAAGAAUUUGUA
This is a long non-coding RNA of Glycine soja, 586 nucleotides long. RefSeq lists it as uncharacterized. The transcript is spliced from 2 exons. Lineage: Eukaryota; Viridiplantae; Streptophyta; Magnoliopsida; Fabales; Fabaceae. The record is from RefSeq and is a predicted model, not a curated record.